This 636-nucleotide unclassified non-coding RNA is filed under the name uncultured Clavulina. Its description in RNAcentral is "sequence contains ITS1, 5.8S rRNA gene, ITS2". The stretch from base 199 to 352 matches the Rfam family "5.8S ribosomal RNA". Lineage: Eukaryota; Fungi; Basidiomycota; Agaricomycetes; Cantharellales; Hydnaceae. The record is from RNAcentral.
GGAAGGAUCAUUAAUGAAUUGUAAUCGGAGUUGAUGCUGGCGGCUUGUCUGCAUGUGCUCGCUCUUAACAAUCUUUAUCCAAACACCUGUGCACAUUUAGAGAGGGGUCUCCGAGUUCUCCUUUGAGUCCCUUCCUCUCAUUAUACACUAGUUUUCAAUAUUGAACGUGAUUGUGCCGUGAGGCCUUAAUAUCAAUACAACUUUUAACAACGGAUCUCUUGGCUCUCGCAUCGAUGAAGAACGCAGCGAAAUGCGAUAAGUAAUGUGAAUUGCAGAAUUCAGUGAAUCAUCGAAUUUUUGAACGCACCUUGCGCUCCCUGGUAUUCCGGGGAGCACGCCUGUUCGAGUGUCGUGAAAUUCUCAAACCGGGAUGCUUUUUUUGUUUCUCGGCUUGGUUUUGGGCUUUGCAGUUCCUUUGAUUGGGAUGGCUGGCCUCAAAAGCAUUAGCUGGCUUUUCAUGUGGUAUUGGUUCUACUCAGCGUGAUAAUGAUCUGACCGCCGAGGACAUCUUUCGAGAUGGCCAAUUCUCAUUUGGGCUGCUUCUAAUUUUGGUAGAGCGGAUUCUGAAUCUGUUCCACUUUUUCAGCUUUUGACCUCGAAUCAGGUGGGACUACCCGCUGAACUUAAGCAUAUCAA